CGAGCUCCACACUGUCAUCCAGGCUGGAGUGCAGUGGCACUAGCUGGUUUAAUUAGGCAGCAGGCCCUUAAUUGUAUGAGAUUGAAGCUACUAGCUCUGGGCUAUGCAGGCAGGAAGCCCCGGCUAGACCCUGAAACCAAUCUGUCUUCCCUCACCCCACCGCCUCCUCACUGAAGGCCAGAGCUGGCCUUCAACUGUCCAAGGGCUGCUCUGCUCUGGACUCUCUCACUGGUAAGAUGUGUUACCAUGGGUGCACCACUUCACCCAAAUGAGCCACAAUCUCUCACUAGGAAGAAGGAGGCCAUGAGUCCUGCCUGUUGGGGCUCCCGGGGUGGUCGAGUAGCACCGGGCAUGCUUGGGGCAUAUGCAUAAGGAGGGCCAACACUGUGCGUUAUCAAGUGUUACAUGUUCAUGUGUUUAUCCAU
Molecule: long non-coding RNA, 425 nt
Filed under: Homo sapiens (human)
Lineage: Eukaryota; Metazoa; Chordata; Mammalia; Primates; Hominidae
Description: non-protein coding lnc-PTPN20-4:1
Source: RNAcentral